Molecule: transfer RNA, 74 nt
Filed under: Triticum aestivum (bread wheat)
Lineage: Eukaryota; Viridiplantae; Streptophyta; Magnoliopsida; Poales; Poaceae
Also listed under: 1 other name
Description: tRNA tRNA-Ile
Rfam family: tRNA
About the family: Transfer RNA (tRNA) molecules are approximately 80 nucleotides in length.
Source: Rfam by way of RNAcentral
GGCCUAUUAGCUCAGCUGGUUAGAGCGUGGUCCUAAUAAGGCCAAGGUCGCAGGUUCGAGACCUGCAUGGCCCA